Molecule: ribosomal RNA, 546 nt
Filed under: Flavobacterium sp. jshs1
Lineage: Bacteria; Pseudomonadati; Bacteroidota; Flavobacteriia; Flavobacteriales; Flavobacteriaceae
Description: bacterial SSU rRNA
Rfam family: Bacterial small subunit ribosomal RNA
Source: RNAcentral
UCUUCGGAUUUAGAGACCGGCGCACGGGUGCGUAACGCGUAUGCAAUCUACCUUUUACAGAGGGAUAGCCCAGAGAAAUUUGGAUUAAUACCUCAUAGCAUAGCAGCUUCGCAUGAAGCCACUAUUAAAGUCACAACGGUAAAAGAUGAGCAUGCGUCCCAUUAGCUAGUUGGUAAGGUAACGGCUUACCAAGGCUACGAUGGGUAGGGGUCCUGAGAGGGAGAUCCCCCACACUGGUACUGAGACACGGACCAGACUCCUACGGGAGGCAGCAGUGAGGAAUAUUGGACAAUGGGCGCAAGCCUGAUCCAGCCAUGCCGCGUGCAGGAUGACGGUCCUAUGGAUUGUAAACUGCUUUUAUACGAGAAGAAACACUCCUUCGUGAAGGAGCUUGACGGUAUCGUAAGAAUAAGGAUCGGCUAACUCCGUGCCAGCAGCCGCGGUAAUACGGAGGAUCCAAGCGUUAUCCGGAAUCAUUGGGUUUAAAGGGUCCGUAGGCGGUUUGGUAAGUCAGUGGUGAAAGCCCAUCGCUCAACGGUGGAACGG